GGUCCCAUAGCUUAGACUGGCUGGAGCGCCCGGCUGAUAACCGGGAGGUCAUGAGGUCGAAUCUCAUUGGGACCACCA
Molecule: transfer RNA, 78 nt
Filed under: Candidatus Methanoplasma sp.
Lineage: Archaea; Methanobacteriati; Thermoplasmatota; Thermoplasmata; Methanomassiliicoccales; Methanomassiliicoccaceae
Description: tRNA-Ile
Rfam family: tRNA
About the family: Transfer RNA (tRNA) molecules are approximately 80 nucleotides in length.
Source: RNAcentral